This 30-nucleotide non-coding RNA is filed under the name Rattus norvegicus (Norway rat). Lineage: Eukaryota; Metazoa; Chordata; Mammalia; Rodentia; Muridae. The record is from RNAcentral.
UCUUUCAGAUUUCUGAUUUCCACAGCAAAU